Molecule: non-coding RNA, 294 nt
Organism: Pelobates cultripes (western spadefoot toad)
Lineage: Eukaryota; Metazoa; Chordata; Amphibia; Anura; Pelobatidae
Source: the annotation of a GenBank genome assembly
CUAACGCACGUGUUAGUCGGAGGACUCACAGCCAGACCCCUUGGUGCAAUGAAGGUGAGGGCUGAGGUGACCUGUCUUAGGUGGGAACCUGCAUAUCACCGGCCUGUGUUGCCAGCCUUAUCUGGUAGGUGGAGUGUAAUCACGCGCAAUAGGACCUGAAAGAUGGUAAACUAUGCCUGGGCAGGGUAAAGCCAGAGGUAACCCUGGUGGAGGUCCACAGUGGCCAUGAUGUGCAUAUCGGUUGUCCAUCCUGUGUAUAGGAGUGAAAGACCAAUCAAACGGUCUCGUAGCUGG